GACGAACGCUGGCGGCACGCCUAACACAUGCAAGUCGAGCGGAGAUUGAGAGCUUGCUCUCAUGAUCAGCGGCGGACGGGUGAGUAACACGUGAGCAACCUGCCUUUCAGAGGGGGACAACAGUUGGAACGACUGCUAAUACCGCAUAAUAUUGCCGGCCGGCAUCGGCUGGCAAUCAAGGAGCAAUCCGCUGAAAGAUGGGCUCGCGUCUGAUUAGAUAGUUGGUGAGGUAACGGCCCACCAAGUCGACGAUCAGUAGCCGGACUGAGAGGUUGAUCGGCCACAUUGGGACUGAGACACGGCCCAGACUCCUACGGGAGGCAGCAGUGGGGGAUAUUGGACAAUGGGGGGAAACCCUGAUCCAGCGAUGCCGCGUGAGGGAAGAAGGUUUUCGGAUUGUAAACCUCUGUGGACAGGGACGAUAAUGACGGUACCUGUUUAGAAAGCCACGGCUAACUACGUG
Molecule: ribosomal RNA, 463 nt
Filed under: uncultured bacterium
Lineage: Bacteria
Description: bacterial SSU rRNA
Rfam family: Bacterial small subunit ribosomal RNA
Source: RNAcentral